Rosa rugosa (rugosa rose) is the source of this 1479-nucleotide long non-coding RNA. RefSeq lists it as uncharacterized. Lineage: Eukaryota; Viridiplantae; Streptophyta; Magnoliopsida; Rosales; Rosaceae. The record is from RefSeq and is a predicted model, not a curated record. The transcript has 3 exons.
UGGUCAUCUGAGCUAUUUGUUUGACCUGUUUUUCUAAUCCCAGUUGUUACUCUAUUUUAGCGGUCUCAUAGGUACUUGUGGGUGUGGAAUAGUUUCUUACUUGUAGCUUUCAAUUUUUCCAUUUCCUUCAUUUGGUGUUGUUUGUUUUUCACAGCCACCUCGGAAAAACAUGAUCUAGAGGACAGUCCUUUAGAAGACAUUAAGAGAGCUCAGAAAAUUGCGAACCAAUCCCAACCAUCAGUUAUCGCCGAGGAGAAGUUGUAUAAGCAUGCGCUUUCCUACUUGUGAACCAAAGAAUAAGAUAAUAACGGUGAAGAUGUCUUCUGCUAGCAAAUCUAUUAGUACUUCUGCCAUGUGCUUGUGCGUGAAGCGAACUCAGGUUCUCCAAAGAUGUCUGGUCAUUCUGUCAGCUUGGAUCAACAGACUCAUGACAUAGAGAACAGCUCUAUUGCUGCCUUUGAAAAGUCACAUGGGGAUUCGGGUUUAGACGUUGGAGAUGUUAAACCCAUUCCUAUGAUCUUGGAUUGAGCUCAGAAGUGUCUCCCCUGCGUCUAUGCUAGUAAGAGGGUCUGAUCUUGUUCAAAUUUCAAAAACCAUUGUGAUAAGAUGACUCGGGUAUUUCCCCUCUAACAUCGUUAUUUCUUAUGAAAUGCUCGGAGGUUAACCUUUUCUUUUACAGAUGGCUUACUUAGCUCUGGAAGAAGAGACGAAAUUGCAGAAUGCUUUGGCAGCUGAGGUAUAUGGUAUAUCCGAGAAUCUUGAGUUUGAAAAAUUUUUGAAAGCAAGAACAUGAAAGGUCAAUGUUGGAGCUGAAUACUCAAAAGGAGAAGCACAAAGCUGAAAUCAUCAGGUGUAAAACUGAAUCAGUCAAGUCACAUGUCACAAAUGGUAAGCUGCAAAAAAAAAUGCGACGCUUUGAAAGCUGAGUUAGAGGAACUUGUGAAAUGAGGAAAUCUGAAGCAAGAACGUGAAAGGGUAAUGUCCUUGGAGAAGGAGCUGGAAAGUCAAAAGGAGAAGUACGAGUUGACAUUUCUGAGUAUCAAUCCCAGUUAGAGAACUCCAAGAAGAGAGCUUUCGAGCAACCUAUUUGGAAGAUGAAAUUCCAAACCGGGAGGCUGCAGCUGUUUUGGCAUUCAAAACCUAUAGCGAGUACCAUAAGACCAUGGAAGCAGUUUUUACAAAGGCAUGUGAAGAUUUCGAGCAAUGCUGGAGGAAUAUUGUCCAGAACUAGAUUUUAUGUGGUUGCUUGACGAGGAGGAUUGUGAUCAAAACAAUGCUGAAAAGGAUGCUCAAGGUAAAAAAAUGUCAAUAAGAACAGAGCAUGGAAGCCUGGGCAACACUGAUGGUGCAACAACUGCUUGAACAAGUUAUAUGUGUCGUGACAUUCUUGUUUCUUGUAAAUAUAGGCAUAUAGAUCUCCUUGAACAACAUGCCUGGCUUUCUCUUGUUAUGAACUUCGUUUCGUACUGUAAUAUAUAU